GACGAACGCUGGCGGCGUGCCUAAUACAUGCAAGUCGUGCGGACCUUUUAAAAGCUUGCUUUUAAAAGGUUAGCGGCGGACGGGUGAGUAACACGUGGGCAACCUGCCUGUAAGACUGGGAUAACGCCGGGAAACCGGGGCUAAUACCAGAUCGUUUUUUCCUCCGCAUGGAGGAAAAAGGAAAGGCGGCUUCGGCUGCCACUUACAGAUGGGCCCGCGGCGCAUUAGCUAGUUGGCGGGGUAACGGCCCACCAAGGCAACGAUGCGUAGCCGACCUGAGAUGGUGAUCGGCCACAUUGGGACUGAGACACGGCCCAAACUCCUACGGGGAGCAGCAGUAGGGAAUCUUCCGCAAUGGACGAAAGUCUGACGGAGCAACGCCGCGUGAGUGAAGAAGGCCUUCGGGUCGUAAAACUCUGUUGCCGGGGAAGAACAAGUGCCGUUCGAACAGGGCGGCGCCUUGACGGUACCCGGCCAGAAAGCCACGGCUAACUACGUG
Molecule: ribosomal RNA, 499 nt
Filed under: uncultured bacterium
Lineage: Bacteria
Description: partial 16S ribosomal RNA
Rfam family: Bacterial small subunit ribosomal RNA
Source: RNAcentral